UACGGAGGGUGCAAGCAUUGAUCGGAAUUACUGGGCGUAAAGGGCGCGCAGGCGGAUAGGAAAGUCAGAUGUGAAAUUCCGAGGCUCAACCUCGGAGCUGCAUUUGAAACUUCCCAUCUAGAGUACAGUUAGGGAAAACGGAAUUCCACGUGUAGCGGUGAAAUGCGUAGAUAUGUGGAAGAACACCGGUGGUGAAGACGGUUUUCUGGGCUGAAACUGACGCUGAGGCGCGAAAGCAAGGGGAGCAAACAGG
RNAcentral lists this ribosomal RNA (253 nucleotides) under uncultured bacterium. Its description in RNAcentral is "partial 16S ribosomal RNA". It matches the Rfam family "Bacterial small subunit ribosomal RNA", at positions 524 to 776 of the family's 1533-position model. The record is from RNAcentral.